AACGUACGCUGGCGGCACGCUUAACACAUGCAAGUCGAACGAAGUAGCAAUACUUAGUGGCAGACGGGUGAGUAACAUGUGGGUAUCUGCCCUUUGGCCUGGAAUAACACGAGGAAACUUGUGCUAAUACCGGAUAAGUCUUUACGGAGAAAGCUUUAUGCACCAUUGGAUGAGCCUGCACUUGAUUAGUUUGUUGGUGGGGUAAUGGCCUACCAAGACUGUGAUCAAUAGCUGAUUUGAGAGGAUGAUCAGCCACAUUGGGACUGAGACACGGCCCAAACUCCUACGGGAGGCAGCAGUGGGGAAUCUUGCACAAUGGAGGAAACUCUGAUGCAGCGAUGCCGCGUGAGUGAAGAAGGCCCUUGGGUUGUAAAGCUCUUUCGUCGGGGAAGAAAAUGACUGUACCCGAAUAAGAAGGUCCGGCUAACUUCGUGCCAGCAGCCGCGGUAAUACGAAGGGACCUAGCGUAGUUCGGAAUUACUGGGCUUAAAGAGUUCGUAGGUGGUUGAAAAAGUUAGUGGUGAAAUCCCAGAGCUUAACUCUGGAACUGCCAUUAAAACUUUUCAGCUAGAGUAUGAUAGAGGAAAGCAGAAUUUCUAGUGUAGAGGUGAAAUUCGUAGAUAUUAGAAAGAAUACCAAUUGCGAAGGCAGCUUUCUGGAUCAUUACUGACACUGAGGAACGAAAGCAUGGGUAGCGAAGAGGAUUAGAUACCCUCGUAGUCCAUGCCGUAAACGAUGUGUGUUAGACGUUGGAAAUUUAUUUUCAGUGUCGCAGCGAAAGCGAUAAACACACCGCCUGGGGAGUACGACCGCAAGGUUAAAACUCAAAUGAAUUGACGGGGACCCGCACAAGUAGUGGAGCAUGUGGUUUAAUUCGAAGAUACGCGCAGAACCUUACCAACACUUGACAUGUUCGUCGCGACUCUAAGAGAUUAGAGUUUUCGGUUCGGCCGGACGAAACACAGGUGCUGCAUGGCUGUCGUCAGCUCGUGUCGUGAGAUGUUGGGUUAAGUCCCGCAACGAGCGCAACCCUCACUUUUAGUUGCCAUCAUUAAGUUGGGCACUCUGAAAGAACUGCCAGUGAUAAGCUGGAGGAAGGUGGGGAUGACGUCAAGUCCUCAUGGCCCUUACGUGUUGGGCUACACACGCGCUACAAUGGUAUCUACAACAGGAAGCAAGACUGCGAGGUCAAGCAAAUCCUUAAAAGAUACCUCAGUUCGGAUUGCACUCUGCAACUCGAGUGCAUGAAGCUGGAAUUACUAGUAAUCGUGGAUCAGCGUGCCACGGUGAAUGCGUUCCCGGGUCU
RNAcentral lists this ribosomal RNA (1306 nucleotides) under uncultured bacterium. RNAcentral describes it as "bacterial SSU rRNA". It matches the Rfam family "Bacterial small subunit ribosomal RNA", at positions 28 to 1381 of the family's 1533-position model. The record is from RNAcentral.